RNAcentral lists this ribosomal RNA (230 nucleotides) under uncultured bacterium. Its description in RNAcentral is "partial 16S ribosomal RNA". It matches the Rfam family "Bacterial small subunit ribosomal RNA", at positions 15 to 236 of the family's 1533-position model. The record is from RNAcentral.
GAUCCUGGCUCAGGAUGAACGCUAGCUACAGGCUUAACACAUGCAAGUCGAGGGGCAGCAUGAACUUAGCUUGCUAAGUUUGAUGGCGACCGGCGCACGGGUGAGUAACGCGUAUCCAACCUGCCCAUCACUUGGGAAUAACCUUGCGAAAGUAAGACUAAUGCCCAAUGAUAUCCCACGAAGGCAUCCGAAUGGGAUUAAAGAUUUAUCGGUGAUGGAUGGGGAUGCGU